RNAcentral lists this ribosomal RNA (257 nucleotides) under uncultured bacterium. RNAcentral's name for it is "partial 16S ribosomal RNA". It matches the Rfam family "Bacterial small subunit ribosomal RNA", at positions 524 to 776 of the family's 1533-position model. The record is from RNAcentral.
GACAGAGGAUGCAAGCGUUAUCCGGAAUGAUUGGGCGUAAAGCGUCUAUAGGUGGCUUUUCAAGUCCUCCGUCAAAUCCCAGGGCUCAACCCUGGACAGGUGGUGGAAACUACCAAGCUGGAGUAUGGUAGGGGUAGAGGGCUCGUAGAGCCGGUGGAGCGGUGAAAUGCGUAGAGAUCGGAAAGAACACCAAUGGCGAAAGCACUUUGCUGGGCUGACACUGACACUGAGAGACGAAAGCUAGGGUAGCAAACGGG